Molecule: unclassified non-coding RNA, 380 nt
Filed under: soil metagenome
Description: partial contains 5.8S ribosomal RNA, internal transcribed spacer 2, and large subunit ribosomal RNA
Rfam family: 5.8S ribosomal RNA (bases 1-120)
Source: RNAcentral
GAUGAAGAACGUAGCGAAAUGCGAUAAGUAAUGUGAAUUGCAGAAUUUAGUGAAUCAUCGAAUCUUUGAACGCACCUUGCACCCUUUGGCAUUCUGAAGGGUAUGCUCGUUUGAGUGUCAUUGUACUCUCACACUCCCGAUCUUUGCAUUGGGAGCAGUGGACUUGGGUUUGCUGCUUCACCGUCGCUUACCUCAAAUAGGUUAGUGCAACUCUUGGUUGGACAUAGUACGGCGUGAUAAGUGUUCUUCGCCGGUGCCUCGCAAAGAGGGUGGCCGAUCGGGAUGUUGUGCUCCAAACCGUCUUCGGACAAUCUCUGACGACUUGACCUCAAAUCGAGUAAGACUACCCGCUGAACUUAAGCAUAUCAAUAAGCGGAGGA